GAAUCUAACUUUCUUGGAGGUUAAUGUAAGACAUUCACAUUGGAAUGAAGGUCCUGAUGACAAAGGCUUUUGGUCUUUUCACGGAAUUGUACAACUGAACAAGAAAAGGCUUCUUGGAGGCAAAGAUGGAUGCAGACGACUCCAAUGCAACAAGAAGAAAAUGCAGCUAUCAAUAAUUAAUUGUAUAUCUUAGUGAAGACCCUGAAAAGGUAGUGAAGGAGUACAAUCCCUGAUGAGACCCAGAGGGCUAUGAAUCAGAUGGCCAUGGCAAUGUAUGUCAUUAAACAUAGAGGCGCAGAAUUUGAUCAGCUCCCAGAAGAAGUUUGCAUAAUUCUUGAAGGUGUCCAGGUGCUAAAUGGACUGACAGAUUUUACCAAUGGCUGUGCAUUGCUUUUUGGGAACUAUUUACGGCCUGAAUUUGAGCUAUUCGUCUGACCUCAGGUACUAUUUUAAAU
Long non-coding RNA from Entelurus aequoreus (snake pipefish), 455 nucleotides. RefSeq lists it as uncharacterized. The transcript has 3 exons. Lineage: Eukaryota; Metazoa; Chordata; Actinopteri; Syngnathiformes; Syngnathidae. The record is from RefSeq and is a predicted model, not a curated record.